UGUGCACACUGUUAGAGCUUGGAACUGAGGCCACUGGCUGGCCAGUGAGCUCUCAAGUGUAGGUAGUGUGCUACAUGAUGGGCAAGUUUUUCACUAACACCACAAGGGUCUCUGAUCCAAUGAGUAGAGUUUGAUAGUAAUCCUUGCCACAAGU
This 154-nucleotide small nucleolar RNA is filed under the name Dasypus novemcinctus (nine-banded armadillo). Lineage: Eukaryota; Metazoa; Chordata; Mammalia; Cingulata; Dasypodidae. The record is from RNAcentral.